UACGGGGGGUGCGAGCGUUGUCCGGAAUCACUGGGCGUAAAGGGCGCGUAGGUGGUUUGAUAAGGGUGUGGUGAAAGCCCGGGGCUCAACCCCCGGGUCUGCCGUGCCGACUGUCAAACUCGAGGGCUGUAGAGGCAGACGGAAUUCCGGGUGUAGCGGUGGAAUGCGUAGAGAUCCGGAGGAAGACCGGUGGCGAAGGCGGUCUGCUGGGCAGUUCUGCACUGAUGCGCGACAGCGUGGGGAGCAACAGG
This 251-nucleotide ribosomal RNA is filed under the name uncultured bacterium. RNAcentral's name for it is "partial 16S ribosomal RNA". It matches the Rfam family "Bacterial small subunit ribosomal RNA", at positions 524 to 775 of the family's 1533-position model. The record is from RNAcentral.